UCCCUGGUGGCUCAGAUGGUAAAGCGUGUGCCUACAAUGUGGGAGACCCAGGUUCGAUUCCUGGGCGGGGAA
Non-coding RNA from Bos taurus (domestic cattle), 72 nucleotides. The record is from Rfam. Lineage: Eukaryota; Metazoa; Chordata; Mammalia; Artiodactyla; Bovidae.